Anguilla anguilla (European eel) is the source of this 511-nucleotide long non-coding RNA. RefSeq lists it as uncharacterized. The transcript has 4 exons. NCBI's taxonomy places the organism in Eukaryota, Metazoa, Chordata, Actinopteri, Anguilliformes, Anguillidae. The record is from RefSeq and is a predicted model, not a curated record.
UGCCGUAAUCUCAGAACAAACACAUUCCCUGUUAAACAAAUUGCGAUUUGGUAGCUUUGUGUUAAGCAAAUGUUUUUUUAAAUGAACGUGAAAGCGCCGUGGGCUGCCUGUACGCGCGAGCGUCACGCAUUUCCCCAGUCAAGCUGUUUCCGUUGAUGAGUUUUUAAAAAACGCAGUAAUGUUUGGAACCGACAUUACAAAUUCUUCACAAACGUGAGGUUCGUUUGGUCUUUUGAAAAUUUUCACUCCACGCGGGACAUUAGGACAGAUGUUUUUUCGGGGGCAACUUGAGCCCGACCAUCUGCCGCUGUAAGAGCUUCACCUGGAGCCCGAGGACGCUCGCGCCGCUUGGCUGUGAGUAAAGAUCUGCAGACUCCAGAACCCGCCUCUGCAACGCGUCCAUCCAUCCGCAGUUCGGAGACGCCGGUGAAAGUUUGGCAAUGAGCAGAGGGAGGGGUCAAAGGACAGCUGGGGGGUCAGCGGGAUGGCCGGCCCGGGUCGCCCUGUCCCC